AUGUGUACGACUGUUUGAAUGGACCUGUUCCAUUGGAUGCCCUCCAUUUCCGUGCUUAGACUCUCAAAACAGGACAAAAACAAUUCUCACUCAGAAUUUACUAUAACGAGUUUGGACACGUCUGUAAUGUUUCUGAGAGGAACUUUUAAUGUUACAGAGACAGAAAGCUGCACACAGGGAAUCAUAAAAAUUUCAGCGGCAAAUCCAUCUCUUGUAAACAAUGCCAAAAAGGGAUAAAGGAAAAGGGAGGGAGAGAGAGAGAGAGAAAGAGAGGGAGGAGGGGGAUGUGCAUAGUGCAUCAAGUGACGUGAGGGGGUGUUUGAUGGGAGGGGAAACAUUUGGUGGGAAGAGAAAAAGAGUGUGCUUGAAAUGAGCAUGUCAGACUGAGAGAUAAAAAGAAGGGAUAUCUUGAGGACAAAGUCUUUACCAGCAGAGUAAAGAGGAAGUCAUACUCCAGGGGAUUCAAGUUUUCAGAAGCGACAAUGCUAAUUUGGAAUCCUACCUUGAUGUUGCUGAGGCUUCCAGCCCUUCUUCUCUGUCUGUCAGGGAGCUUGUCAGCCCUUGAUGUUCCAAUUCAUGUGGUUUAUGGUGACGAUGAGGAAGAGACAACGACAAUGACACCCAACAACAAACACUCUGAUGUCACCAGAGUCACUGUAGAUUACAAGAUAUGUGACUACGACCUUUGUGUGGCCCAAGAGGAAAGUUGCCAGGACAUUGCAGCCAAAAUGGGGUGCCUGUGUCCAGGGAUCACACUUGAAUCUGUGCCUCCUCACCCUCCACAGGUCACAGGUGUAAGUCUGGCAGAAUCUGGGGGGGUUAUCGUCCAAUGGUGCGCCCCCUUCUCCUCCGUGUCCCAGUAUCGAGUCACUACGGCAACGAACAAUAACGAAGACCAAUUCCAGGUCUUUGAGAAAAUGUUCCGCAAUGCAACUCUUGAAGGUGUGAAAGUGGGCCAGAGGGUCUGUGUGCAGGCCAUGAACAGGGCAGGCACCAGUCCGCUUUCUGAGGAGUCCUGCUCUACAUACAGGCCAGAGAAGCAUGCAAAUACACCCUUGGUGGCAGGGGUUGUUGCUGGGGGAGUAGGCUUCAUUUUGCUCCUCUCUGUGACCGCACUCGUCCUGUGGAGACGGAAGGCAUGCUGCAAGGGCAGAACAGACAAUGCCCAGGGCCUGAGAAAUCCAUCUUUCAGUACUGAUGGGACGCUGUAGCCUGGAUUCUUACAGGCCAAAAUCACCACAGGAACGGGAAGUGGAUUUUGUAAAUCUGAUGACUCACGAGAGCGAUAUGUUAAUCCCUGCUUGUAAUAGUCUUGAUGCCUGCGGAUUAGCCUGUUUUCACUUGAGGGUUAGAUAUUGUGGUUGUUUGAAUGUUUGUAUGUUUUUCAGAGGUUGCUAAAUUUGAAUAAGAAACUAGUGCUACUAAUAAUAUGUACUACUAAAGGUGAGAGCCUGGAGCUCCAAUGUGUUCAAUUUUUGUGUAUUACAGGGUAUAAUUUAAUUGUACUGGAUGUAAUGUUAGUGAUGAGCAAGAAUAAUAUAAACAGGGAGGUAAGCGUGUCACAUUGACAGAGCAUGGGGAAAUCUGAUAAAUGUGAGACCAGUCCUGAGGCGUUGAAUGUUGCUUUUGAAGACUGUAUGCAAAUAGAGAAUUGAUUGAGUCACGGUUUCAUCUACCCAACCACGAUGAUAAAACCAUUUUUUUCAGGGGUGGGACUGCAAUGCCUAGGUUACGAAGGGUGGCUUAGGCAAUGGUGUUACACAACCACAAUUUACUUCUUCUCAGUGAUUUUCCAUUUCUGAUUUUAAACAGUCAAACACUGAGUGAAAUUGUUUAAAUAGGCAUUUUAUGUAAAACAUGGACUUCCAACAUCUUAAGAAUAAUGCUGCUAGAUAUUAAGCUCUAUAAUUGCAUGUGUUAAACAAAUGAGUCCACACUAUUAAAUGAACUUCUAUCUCUGAUCAUCUGUUAUAUUUUUUAUUGAUAUUUUUCCUCUAAUAAAAAGAAAAAUAUACACAAA
Long non-coding RNA from Clupea harengus (Atlantic herring), 2020 nucleotides. RefSeq lists it as uncharacterized. The transcript has 2 exons. The record is from RefSeq and is a predicted model, not a curated record. Lineage: Eukaryota; Metazoa; Chordata; Actinopteri; Clupeiformes; Clupeidae.